Molecule: ribosomal RNA, 58 nt
Filed under: uncultured Glomus
Lineage: Eukaryota; Fungi; Glomeromycota; Glomeromycetes; Glomerales; Glomeraceae
Description: partial 28S ribosomal RNA
Rfam family: Eukaryotic large subunit ribosomal RNA
Source: RNAcentral
UGACCUCAAAUCAGGUAAGACCACCCGCUGAACUUAAGCAUAUCAAUAAGCGGAGGAA